Pelobates cultripes (western spadefoot toad) is the source of this 237-nucleotide non-coding RNA. The record is from the annotation of a GenBank genome assembly. Lineage: Eukaryota; Metazoa; Chordata; Amphibia; Anura; Pelobatidae.
GAGAUCUCCCAGCUCGUCAUGGUAGAGCACAUUUUAAAUGGGUUCCCCAACGACAAGGCGAUGACGCAUUCGUAUGUCAUCCAUAUCAACUUUCAAUGCCAUUUACUGCGCCUACCAUGGUGACCACGGGUAACGGGGAAUCAGGGUUCGAUUCCUGAGAGGGAGUCUGAGAAACGGCUACCACAUGAAAGCAAGGCAGCAGGCGCGCAAAUGACCCACUCCUGACGCAUGAAGGUA